UAGUCCACGCUGUAAACGAUGUCUACUAGCCGUUGGGGAUCUUGAAUCCUUAGUGGCGCAGCUAACGCACUAAGUAGACCGCCUGGGGAGUACGGCCGCAAGGUUAAAACUCAAAUGAAUUGACGGGGGCCCGCACAAGCGGUGGAGCAUGUGGUUUAAUUCGACGCAACGCGAAGAACCUUACCUGGCCUUGACAUGCAGAGAACUUUCCAGAGAUGGAUUGGUGCCUUCGGGAACUCUGACACAGGUGCUGCAUGGCCGUCGUCAGCUCGUGUCGUGAGAUGUUGGGUUAAGUCCCGUAACGAGCGCAACCCCUAUCCUUAGUUGCUAGCAGGUAAUGCUGAGAACUCUAGGGAGACUGCCGGUGACAAACCGGAGGGAGGUGGGGAUGACGUCAGGUCAUCAUGGCCCUUACGGCCAGGGCUACACACGUGCUACAAUGGUGCGCACACACCGCCCGU
This 461-nucleotide ribosomal RNA is filed under the name uncultured bacterium. Its description in RNAcentral is "bacterial SSU rRNA". It matches the Rfam family "Bacterial small subunit ribosomal RNA", at positions 791 to 1251 of the family's 1533-position model. The record is from RNAcentral.